UAAUAAUAAAGAAAUUAAGGGAUCCCCUCGUAUUUUCCUCUAGAGGUUUUUUGAAAAAAAACCAAGUCAGUAGCACCAAAGCCAGUAGCUAUGGCGGAAUCAAUUUGCAGAGCACUAAGAGACGGAGCUCCAGAAGGCGAGCUGGCGCCUGCGUUCACCAUCAAGGACUCCGUCACUUCUCCCUUUGCCUUACAAGUGUUUUCUCACGUGCUUUCUCAGCACUUCUCCUCCAUUUUGGCAGGAAAAUCGUAGUCACGAGGCCUUGUCGUCGUUUCAUUUUCCCGGAAUCCAUCGUUUUAUUUGGAUUUGCUGAAAAACAAAGGAACUGACGUCGCUUCAUCGGAUAAACAGUGAAUUUCUUUUUGGCUCUAAUAAUUUUAGAUUGUUACAGUGAUCCACUUGGUUGGAAGGAUCAGUUAGCAGGGAGUGGAAACUCCACAGCUCUUUCCAAUGAAGCUUUGGUUUCGAGUACUGCUAAUGUUUUUAGGGAAGUUAAACAUAUGGAUAAGUUGUACAAUUCAAUUAUUGAACUUGGCAAAGGACUGGUAGGAGGUGGAAAAAUCCGGUUUUCUAUUGCCAUAGACUCGAAAAAAAAGUGAAGUAUCGACAAAAUCCAAAGAGGACUGGAAUAAGCGCUUUAGUCACUGUGGGAGUCCGAGAUAUUCAGGGUGAGGGAUUUCCGAUCAGUUUUCUGGGUUGGCUGACUCCGUAUUUCUGGACCUACCGCAACCUUGGCUAACCAUUCCUUCAGCUUGAAACAUGUUGAAACAAGAUGGAACUCUGUGUUCCUUCUCACCUUGCAUCGAACAAGUGCAACGUUCAUGUGAAACUCUUAGAUCUGACUUUACAGAUAUAUGGACCUUUGAAAUGCUGCUCCACAUGUAUGAAAUCCGUGAAUGGAAAAUGGAUCACUUGAAGGUCAAUGAUGGGAAUUCCACUGCAUGCCCUCCACGCAAGAGGAGGCAGCCUUCAAGUGAAGCAAGUGUGGGGGACAAUGCAAGUUCUCCGACAGUCAUGGCUUGGCCAUCUGCCGAAACUUGAGGGCAUACCGGAUAUUUGACAUUCGCAAGGAAGUGUUUCUUGAAAAAAAAAACUCUUUAACAAGUUGCAAUCAAUUCAAACACUGAGUUUUCAUCCUGCUAUUAUGAUUGAUUCUUUGCUCACUCAGUGACACAUUCCUGAGUAUUCACUUUACAAGUUUUCAUCCUAUUUUUGGCCUGGUUUUAAAUCACUGUUGUGAGUUUAACAUUGUCCAAGUUCAGGUCAGACCAGGCCUACAGGUAUCAUAGUGUCUUUUGAUAAUUAAAUGAUACAUUAAACAGCUUCCAACGUCUCUCUAAAUUCUUGAUGAGAGACCCUUCUUUCUCCUGUAAAUUGUGUCUACUCUGUCUCCCUUUAUUCUGAUUUUUACCUUCUUUUUCUUUUGUUUUUAUUUAUUUUCUCUUCCUCCCUUUCUUUACUACAGCAGGACAUUGAAAUCCCCUUCUUCAUCGGAUUGCAAUUUCAGAUUAAAAGAAUCAGGCCACGUUUGGUUGGUUCCCUCUUUAUUCUUGGAAGAAUAUCAAUGCUUUUGUUUGGUUGGUUCCCUCAAAUGCGUAAUAGGGAUUCAGUGCUGAAUGCUUUGAAUGGCCAUUCCGAUCAUGGCCGAAUAGAAAUAAAGAAAAUUCUUCCCAAAAUCUCCUUCACACUUUCUCUGCAAAUGCGUUCAAAGUUGCUUCUUUUAUCACAGCGUUACACUUUCAGGUUUGGAGAUAUGGUGCAACAGAUGAAAAUUUAUUAAGAAAUAUACGUUAUAGUGCUUUGGAGCAGACAAGUUGAUGUCCAGACACUAGAGGGUCAAAUGGAAACAGAUAUAGACUACUCCUUCAGUUUAACACGGAGGGGUAUCUUCUAAGGCUUCCUCUUCCAGAAUGUUGGGUGGUAUAUUGAGGCCAGUAAAGCUCGCAUUUACCACUCUGGAGAUGAUUCAGUUGGUUUGGUAGCUCAGACAGUUCUACUCUAUGUUUUCGAGAAUAUACUGAAAUUAUUACAUCCAUUCAUGCCAUUCGUAACUGAGGAACUGUGGCAG
Gossypium raimondii (Peruvian cotton) is the source of this 2068-nucleotide RNA transcript. It is a transcript of the gene named valine--tRNA ligase, chloroplastic/mitochondrial 2-like, with no coding region annotated. The record is from RefSeq and is a predicted model, not a curated record. NCBI's taxonomy places the organism in Eukaryota, Viridiplantae, Streptophyta, Magnoliopsida, Malvales, Malvaceae. The transcript has 10 exons.